AUGGGGCUGCUGCGCCGGCGGGCCGGAGGCGGACCCGGCGGUGCUGCGCGCGCUGUGCUCCAUGCACCGCACGACCUCGGCGCGGCUGGCCACGACGCGGUGGAACACGGCGCGCACCUGCCGCUCCAGCGGCGCGAGGCCGUCCUCCAGCGCCCGGCACGCGCCGGCCAGCGCCUCUGCGCGCUCCACGACGUCUCCGGCGCGCUCCUCGCUGAUGGACGCCGGGGCCUCCACCUCCGCGGCCUCGUCCUCCUCCUCGGCGAUCUCCUCGAGCAGGCUGUUGAGCUCCCGCGCGGCGCGCUCCACGGCCUGCAUCUCGGCGAGGAGCCCCGCGGACGCCGGCGAGGACGCCCCGGAGGACGACCCCUUCUUGUCCCUCCGCCUCGACUCCUCCACGAUCCGCUCCUGGAUGGCCGUCAUGGGCGCCGCCCACUGCGCCUGCUUGGCCGGCGCGACGGGGGCGGCCGCGGAGGCCCUGUCCUGGCAGGGCACGGCGGCGACGAGCGCCCACAUGGCGAACACGAGGACGGAGCUCAUGGUGUAGAGCGCCAGCCCGAGGCCGCCCCCGGCGCCGGGGGCGGCGGCGGCGCGAGGUGCGCCGCCAUGGCGUGCACGUGGCGCCCCGUGGACCAGUUCUUGGACGAGACGCUGAAGGAGAGCGCGCGGGCGGCGCGCGAGCUGCAGGGCGUCGUCGGCGCGGCCCUGGCGUCCGGGAAGAGCCUGGAGAUGGCCCGGCGCGCGCGCGCGAACUGCGCGCGGUGCAGCAGCGGCGCGCCGGCGGCGAGGAGGCAGGAGGCGGCGGUGAGCGCGGCGCGGUGGGAGCCCCGGAGCGAGGCGAGCGCGAGGGAGACGGCGUUGAGCGCGUCGAGCGCCUUGACGGAGCGGUCGAGCAGGUCGGCGGCGAGGCGGUCGGCGGGGGCCCUGGAGAGCGCGGCGCCCACGGGGCCCACGGCGAGGGCGUCCCGGAACGCGGCGUCCGAGGAGACCACGGCGUCGAGCAGCUUGGAGAGGAACGCCAGCGAGAGCAGCGGCCCCUGCUGGCUCUGGGCCGCGGAGGAGGAGUGGGCGGAGAGCGCGGCGAGGCGGUCGGCGACGUGGGCCUGGAGCGCGUCGAGGACGAGCAGCUCGUCGUCCUGCGCCGGGUCGAAGGAGGCGACGGCGGUGGCGCCGCGGCGGAAGCUGAGCAGCCCCAGGAAGCCCAUCCCGCCGGUGGGCGGCGGCGGCUCCGCGGCGGCCAUCCUCGCGCUCGUGGUGGGCUUUGGGCCGGGCCUGGGCCUGGGCUUUGGUCGGAGUGGAGGGGAGGGAGGGAAUGAAUGGUGGGGAACCGCUGCUGGAGCGCCGGCCAUAUAUACUGCGAGGCAGACGGCCGCGGAGGGGCAGCUCCGUCCACGAGCCUCACUUCCCUUCACGCCAAUGACAUGUGGGUCCGCUUAUCGCACGGGCCGUCCUGUCAGUCAGACAGAAGAGGUGGCGUGCUGGUGCGGCGGGGUUCUUGUGGGGAAUGGUGGACCAGUUCGUUGGCUGACUUGGUUGGCUGCCACUACUGGAUGGACCCGGUGUACUCCUCUCCCACAUUUUCUCCUCCCUUUUUUUUUCUUAUAA
RNAcentral lists this ribosomal RNA (1602 nucleotides) under Triticum aestivum (bread wheat). RNAcentral's name for it is "partial small subunit ribosomal RNA". Lineage: Eukaryota; Viridiplantae; Streptophyta; Magnoliopsida; Poales; Poaceae. The record is from RNAcentral.